Molecule: ribosomal RNA, 554 nt
Filed under: Trichormus variabilis BAC 0502
Lineage: Bacteria; Bacillati; Cyanobacteriota; Cyanophyceae; Nostocales; Nostocaceae
Also listed under: 1 other name
Description: bacterial SSU rRNA
Rfam family: Bacterial small subunit ribosomal RNA
Source: RNAcentral
GAUCGGGGACACCACUGGAAACGGUGGCUAAUACCGGAUGUGCCGAAAGGUGAAAGAUUUAUUGCCUAGAGAUGAGCUCGCGUCUGAUUAGCUAGUUGGUGUGGUAAGAGCGCACCAAGGCGACGAUCAGUAGCUGGUCUGAGAGGAUGAUCAGCCACACUGGGACUGAGACACGGCCCAGACUCCUACGGGAGGCAGCAGUGGGGAAUUUUCCGCAAUGGGCGAAAGCCUGACGGAGCAAUACCGCGUGAGGGAGGAAGGCUCUUGGGUUGUAAACCUCUUUUCUCAGGGAAUAAGAAAGUGAAGGUACCUGAGGAAUAAGCAUCGGCUAACUCCGUGCCAGCAGCCGCGGUAAUACGGAGGAUGCAAGCGUUAUCCGGAAUGAUUGGGCGUAAAGCGUCCGCAGGUGGCACUGUAAGUCUGCUGUUAAAGAGCAAGGCUCAACCUGGUAAAGGCAGUGGAAACUACAGAGCUAGAGUACGUUCGGGGCAGAGGGAAUUCCUGGUGUAGCGGUGAAAUGCGUAGAGAUCAGGAAGAACACCGGUGGCGAAAGC